ACCUCUUUUCUCUGGGAAGAAGCAAUGACGGUACCAGAGGAAUCAGCAUCGGCUAACUCCGUGCCAGCAGCCGCGGUAAGACGGAGGAUGCAAGCGUUAUCCGGAAUUAUUGGGCGUAAAGAGUACGUAGGUGGUUAUACAAGUCUAGGGUUAAAGCCUGCGGCCUAACCGUGGAUCGGCCUUAGAAACUGUAUGACUAGAGUGUGAUAGGGGUAGCGGGA
Molecule: ribosomal RNA, 221 nt
Filed under: uncultured cyanobacterium
Lineage: Bacteria; Bacillati; Cyanobacteriota
Description: partial 16S ribosomal RNA
Rfam family: Bacterial small subunit ribosomal RNA
Source: RNAcentral